RNAcentral lists this long non-coding RNA (3245 nucleotides) under Callithrix jacchus (white-tufted-ear marmoset). RNAcentral describes it as "lncRNA (ENSCJAG00000073733.1)". Lineage: Eukaryota; Metazoa; Chordata; Mammalia; Primates; Cebidae. The record is from RNAcentral.
AUGAUCUGCCUACCUCGACCUCCCUACGUGCUGGGAUUACGGAUCUCUAGAAUCCCCCUUCUUGCUGAGAACUUAAUGACUGUUGAAUCCUCAAAGCUGAGAAGAUGCAGGCUACACAAAUCUCAAAAUCACCAGAUUCACCAGACCAUGUUCAGGAAGCCAUUCCUCAUAGCUGGAAGCCAGCCAGCCAUCCUGGGCUGUGGAAAACUUGACAACAUUUACAGUGAGAUUUGAGCAACUUGUGUAAAAGUGGAACUCGGGACGCGAUGUCAGUAUGCUCAAGACUUACUGUCCGUAAGCACCAUUUAGUUCACUUUUUGCACUAAUUAUCUCACUCUGAGAGAAAAUGGAAAUGUGGGAAAAGGGCAUGAAAAAAAAUAAGAGAAAAACCAAACAGAACAGUGAACAGAAAGCCCCAGAAUCAGACUUGACUUGUCUUCAUCUUUUUACCUGGGCCAACCUGACUGAAAGUGGACGUUUCUCAAGGAAAAGCAAAGACAACUGUGUCUGAGUAACAUAAAUAUUUGGACAAGCAUUAAAUGUGGCAGCAUUAAUAAUGAUUCUACCUAGGUCCUGUUUUGAGGGUGGAAAAAUUGAGACAAAAAUGUUAAGUAAUGUGGCUUUCAUAGUACCUAAAAAAAAUUAGGACUCUAAGAUGAGGGAAUUCACUUCUCUGAAUUAGGAGGACAAAUAAAUAAGUUUAUACUUAGCAAAAAUACAAAAUACAGCCCAGAUAAAAAGCAAACAGCCUUUAGAUAACUACAGAAUCAAAAGUGUUAAUAGUUGUUUCCAAAUUCUGCGACUUAUUGAUUCUUAGUCUACCUUGUUUGGUAGGACAUCUCGGCAAUGCAUCUGUGGGCCUUUAUCUCCACAUUCCUCCUGAAUGAAGGCCAGAGGCAAAUGAGAGGAAUCAGAAAUCGGGAGAAAACGUAAAGUAAGUAUUUCCAUUUUAAAUUCCAGAAUUUAGACAUAAAAGGUUUUUGUGUAGUGUUGCCACGUACAAUGUAUAUUUGCUGUGUUUUAGCUGUGUCUGUUCCUCUUUGAUUUGGAAACACAUUCUCAAUCCCUGGAGUAAAUUUGCACUCCACUGCUGUGUGUGCUGCCUUCACGGCAUUAUUUGUCCAGGUGCCGCUAUCCAAGUGGUGGGCCUAUGACUCAAGUUACGCUAAUUAUAUUCUCUCUUGAAGGAUUUGGACGAUUGAAUAAAGAUGCAAAGACCUAAAACCCUGACAGGUGUUUAAUUUUAAGGAGGCAGAAACUCAGGCCAGGCAUGUUGGCUCACGCCUGUAAUCCCAGCAAUUUGAGAGGCCAAGGUGGGUGGAUCACCUGAGGUCAGGAGUUUGAGACCAGCCUGGCCAACAUGGCAAAACCCUGUCUCUACUGAAAAUACAAAAAUUAGCCAGGGAUGGUGGUGCACGCCUAUAAUCCCAGCUGCUUAGGGGGCUGAGGCAAGAGAAUAACUUGAACCAUCUGGUGGAGGUUGCAGUAAGCCGUGAUGGUUUCACUGCACUCCAGCCUGGGUGACACAGCAAAUCUCUGUCUCAAAACAAAACAAAAAACAUGGAAGAAACUGCUCACCAUUUCCUGCCACUGAACUUCUAGUGCCUAUCUCUCACUGGGUCUACAAUUUCCCCUUUUGUUCUAGAGAGUUAGCCAGCAUCAUUUCAAUUAAUGUAUUAAUAUUUUUCAUUUAAAUCUCAGUCUUCAGGUUGCUCACAGCUUAGUAGGAAAGAUGUUGGCUCUCGAGAUUUUAGCACAUUGUUUGACACUUAGAAGAUCUUCAGUAAAUACUUUUUGAAUGUUACGUUUAAGGUAAAUGUUGGCUACACUGAAGUGUAUAGAUUAUUAUCUUCCAUUGUCUUGAGGUAGGUGUAGAGAAGGCUUACCAGAGGAGUGUGGUUGAAAAAGUCAUAUUUUUAACCUCCCACAGUACCUUAUAGAGAAUAGGUACUCAAUAAAUGUUUGAAUCAAAAACAUAAAAUCCUACAAAAAUAUGUUUCAGUAAAUCUCAAAUUGAUACAGUUUUACUAAUUUUUGUUACAACUGCUAUGAUCUGAAUGUGUCUCCCAAAAAUUCAUAUGUUGGCGGCUAAUCCUCAAUGUGAUAGAAUUAAGAGAUGAGGCUUUGUGGGGUUGAUUGAGUUAUAAGAGCUCAAUCCUAACGAAUGGGAUUAGUUUCUUUAUUUUUUUUAUUUUUAAUUUUUUUUUGAGACAGAGUUUCACUCUUGUUACCCAGGCUGGAGUGCAAUGGCGCGAUCUCGGCUCACCACAACCUCCGCCUCCUGGGUUCAAGCAAUUCUCCUGCCUCAGCCUCCCGAGUAGCUGGGAUUACAGGCACGCGCCACCAUGUCCUGCUAACUUUUUGUAUUUUUAGUAGAGACGAGUUUCACCAUGUUAACCAGGAUGCUCUUGGUCUCUCGUGAUCCACCCGCCUCAGCCUCCCAAAGUGCUGGGAUUACAGGCUUGAGCCACCGUGCCUGGCCAAUAAGGCACCAUCUUUAAAGGAGAGAGCAAGCCCUCACCAGACACUGAAUCUGGUGGUUCCUUGAUCUUGGACUUUCCAGCCUAAGAACUGUGAGCAAUAAAUUUGUGCUACUCAUAAAUUACCUAGCCCAAGAUGUUUUGUUCUAGCAGCCCUAACAAAAACAAUAACCCUUCUAAGAUUUGUUAUAUUAUACUGAAUGAGACACCAUAGAUAGAGAAAAAAAUUAAAUCCUCCCAAAGUCAGGAGUUUUCAUAUCUUUUUUACUUCUGCCAUCAAGUAAAUAUUACCAUCCCCUGAAAGCAACAGAGCUGAGUUCUUUCUCAUCUAGGUCUAAGGAAUAACAAACAUCCCUGCUUUCUUUGAGUGCCAGAGCCAGUAACAGAAAAAGCUGGUAUGAAUUUUCAAGAGGAAAUGCUAAUUUGACCCCUUUCCACAAAUGUUGACACUUGACAGCUCUGUUUUUAGAAUCUGACACCAAGGGUGUUAUCAGGGUAUAGGAGGUCUUUUUGAGUUAGAGACAGGGCUCGGAGUUCUUUGAUGAGAGCCAAAAGGCAGUCUGGGAACUGGAAAUGUUUACUGGACCUGUGUUAAGAUUUGGAGAACUGUACACUCAUAUAUAUAUAUAUAUAUAUAUAUAUAUAUUGCCCAUAACCUUCAUAGUCUUUGCUUCUGGGCCUAAAAUAACAUUUUUUUCUCUUUUGCUACCAAAGUAGAAGCAUUUUUGGAAACCAUAUAUUUAUGGAAAAUAUAUCAAGAUAGAC